RNAcentral lists this ribosomal RNA (388 nucleotides) under uncultured bacterium. RNAcentral describes it as "bacterial SSU rRNA". It matches the Rfam family "Bacterial small subunit ribosomal RNA", at positions 29 to 444 of the family's 1533-position model. The record is from RNAcentral.
AACGAACGCUGGCGGCAGGCCUAACACAUGCAAGUCGAACGCCGUAGCAAUACGGAGUGGCAGACGGGUGAGUAACACGUGGGAACGUACCCUUCGGUUCGGGAUAACUCAGGGAAACUUGAGCUAAUACCGGAUACGUCCGAGAGGAGAAAGAUUUAUUGCCGAGGGAUCGGCCCGCGUCUGAUUAGCUUGUUGGUGAGGUAACGGCUCACCAAGGCGACGAUCAGUAGCUGGCUGAGAGGAUGAUCAGCCACAUUGGGACUGAGACACGGCCCAAACUCCUACGGGAGGCAGCAGUGGGGGAAUAUUGGACAAUGGGCGCAAGCCUGAUCCAGCCAUGCCGCGUGAGUGAUGAAGGCCCUAGGGUUGUAAAGCUCUUUUACCCGGG